RNAcentral lists this ribosomal RNA (1336 nucleotides) under uncultured bacterium. Its description in RNAcentral is "bacterial SSU rRNA". It matches the Rfam family "Bacterial small subunit ribosomal RNA", at positions 37 to 1387 of the family's 1533-position model. The record is from RNAcentral.
UGGCGGCGCGCCUAACACAUGCAAGUCGAACGAGAGAGAGGAAGCUUGCUUCCUCAAUCGAGUGGCGAACGGGUGAGUAACGCGUGAGGAACCUGCCUCAAAGAGGGGGACAACAGUUGGAAACGACUGCUAAUACCGCAUAAGCCCACAGCUCGGCAUCGAGCAGAGGGAAAAGGAGCAAUCCGCUUUGAGAUGGCCUCGCGUCCGAUUAGCUAGUUGGUGAGGUAACGGCCCACCAAGGCGACGAUCGGUAGCCGGACUGAGAGGUUGAACGGCCACAUUGGGACUGAGACACGGCCCACACUCCUACGGGAGGCAGCAGUGGGGAAUAUUGCACAAUGGGGGAAACCCUGAUGCAGCGACGCCGCGUGGAGGAAGAAGGUCUUCGGAUUGUAAACUCCUGUUGUUGAGGAAGAUAAUGACGGUACUCAACAAGGAAGUGACGGCUAACUACGUGCCAGCAGCCGCGGUAAAAACGUAGGUCACAAGCGUUGUCCGGAAUUACUGGGUGUAAAGGGAGCGCAGGCGGGAGAACAAGUUGAAAGUGAAAUCCUUGCGCCCCACCCCAUGAACUGCUUUUCAAAACUGUUUUUUCUUGAGUAAGGGCAAAGGAAGGCGGAAAUUCCCGGGUGUAGCGGUGGAAAGCGUAGAUAUUGGGAGGAACACCAGUGGCGAAGGCGGCCUACUGGGCACCAACUGACGCUGAGGCUCGAAAGUGUGGGUAGCAAACAGGAUUAGAUACCCUGGUAGUCCACACCGUAAACGAUGGUUACUAGGUGUUGGAGGAUUGACCCCUUCAGUGCCGCAGUUAACACAAUAAGUAAUCCACCUGGGGAGUACGACCGCAAGGUUGAAACUCAAAGGAAUUGACGGGGGCCCGCACAAGCAGUGGAGUAUGUGGUUUAAUUCGACGCAACGCGAAGAACCUUACCAAGUCUUGACAUCCCUUGACGAUGCUGGAAACAGUAUUUCUCUUCGGAGCAAGGAGACAGGUGGUGCAUGGUUGUCGUCAGCUCGUGUCGUGAGAUGUUGGGUUAAGUCCCGCAACGAGCGCAACCCUUAUGGUCAGUUACUACGCAAGAGGACUCUGGCCAGACUGCCGUUGACAAAACGGAGGAAGGUGGGGAUGACGUCAAAUCAUCAUGCCCUUUAUGACUUGGGCUACACACGUACUACAAUGGCGUUAAACAAAGAGAAGCAAGACCGCGAGGUGGAGCAAAACUCAGAAACAACGUCCCAGUUCGGACUGCAGGCUGCAACUCGCCUGCACGAAGUCGGAAUUGCUAGUAAUCGUGGAUCAGCAUGCCACGGUGAAUACGUUCCCGGGCCUUGCACU